This 253-nucleotide ribosomal RNA is filed under the name uncultured bacterium. Its description in RNAcentral is "partial 16S ribosomal RNA". It matches the Rfam family "Bacterial small subunit ribosomal RNA", at positions 524 to 776 of the family's 1533-position model. The record is from RNAcentral.
UACGAAGGGGGCUAGCGUUGCUCGGAAUUACUGGGCGUAAAGGGUGCGUAGGCGGGUCUUUAAGUCAGAGGUGAAAUCCUGGAGCUCAACUCCUGAACUGCCUUUGAUACUGAGGAUCUUGAGUUCGGGAGAGGUGAGUGGAACUGCGAGUGUAGAGGUGAAAUUCGUAGAUAUUCGCAAGAACACCAGUGGCGAAGGCGGCUCACUGGCCCGAUACUGACGUUGAGGCACGAAAGCGUGGGGAGCAAACAGG